UUAUGAAAUUCUUCUCCUUUGAAAUCUCUUGAGCCAGGUCAGCCUCCCAAGUGCUGAUUAAAGGUGUGCAUCUCCAUGCGUAGCACUUCCUAGAAAACUCUAAUGGAGACAUCACCCUCUCUGUUUCAGCUCCUUUGACCUUCACUUUCUCCACUGGGUUGUCUGUCUAUUGGCUUUGCCCUAUUUGCUCUGACAGAGCUCUCUCUGUGCUUCUUGACAUUACAACCUUCUGUGGCAGAAAAGGGUCUGUGAGACUGAGGUGGGAACUUGGUGAGCUGAGAUGCUGGGGAGGUCAGACUGCCUGAUCAUACCCCUGUAUCCAGUGAAGAGCCCAUAGGUCCCCGAAGGACGGGCUAGAAUGAAUCAAAUAAGUGCCUUAGAAACACAGUGUUCGCCUUGCUAUGGAGACACAGGCUGCUCCUAUGCAUUGAGAUGUUUGGUAACUGUACACACACACACACACACACACACACACACACACACACACACAAACACACCAGUAUGGGACAUCUAUUGACUCUUCAAAAGCAAAUCAACCGAAACCAGGAAGGAAUGAAAAAGUCUUAUGAAACCUCACUGGUUUUUAAGAUAAUUAAUUUUUUAAAAGAGACUUGAGCAGAAGUACCCCACAGCAGUGAAUACUACUACUCCUACGUGAAUAGAAUUAUUAAGUGAAAAUCUCAGUCCCAAGCAUGGAUUUCCUUCUUAUGAGCUUUGGAUCACAGAGGCCCUACACAUGUUCAAAACAAGAUAGACCAUUGACAUUGCACUUGGUUACACACAAUCACUAGAUGGGAAGUUAACUUUUUAAUUAAGCCACCUUCUUGAUUUUCAUAUUUUCACGUUAUAUUCAUUUACUGAGUUAAUUGAUUAAAGCAAGGUAGCAUCCAUUCAUAAAUAUGGUGUGUAAAUGAAAAAUAUAGUCAAUGAAAAAUGGAACCAAACAUUGAAUCAUCUUCUUGCUUUGAAUACUGACUUCAUUGGCAUGUUGUUGCCUGAUAUGCUGGAUGUAUGAUUCUACUAGUCUGCACAUUACAUUUUAAAGAUUUUAUUUUCAUUCAUGUGUGUGUGUGUGUGUGUGUGUGUGUGUGUGCAUGUAUGAAUGAAUGUCAUGUGGGCUGGAGCUUCCAUAAGUCUAGAAGAGAACACUAGAUACCCUAGAGAUGGAGUUACAGAACCUGAUGUAGGUGCUGGGAUCUGAAGGGCAGGAAGUGUGCUUACCUUCUGAGCCAUCUCUGCAGCCAGGUUAGAAGUCUCCAAGCUUCUAGGUCCAGCAACAAGUAUAGUACCAUUGGCCUCAUGACUGUAGAGAUCUGCAGAGAAAGGCCACUACUUACCUUCCAAGGACAAUGUAUCUCUUGCUACCUGAAGUUGUUUAGAGAAACUUCUGGAAAGCUGCUAUCUGAGAGAAGGAAGAACAUUGUCACCAAAGACACUCCUGCUGGACAGGCAGUUUAUAUUUUCCUCUUUGAGUCUUACAAUGUUACUUUUUUAAAAGAGGAAACUGAGGCAGAAAGCCACAGCUCUCUUUAUUAUUUUCUUAUUCUUCUCUCAUGUAUUAUAUUCAAAUCACUCCCCCAGACUCCUUCCCCUUCCCUUUCCCCUCUCCACAGAGAAGAAGAGUAGACCUUCACAGACAUCAGUAAACACAGCAUAACAAGCUGCAAUAAGACCAGACAUAUACCAUCAUAUCAAGGCUGGACAAGGCAACCCAGUACUGGGGAAAGAAUUCCACAAGCAGCAAAAGAGGCCACCCCACCACUCCCACUAUUAAGAUUUCCACAAGAACACCAAGCUACUCAGUCAUAACAUAAAUGUAGAGGGCCUAGGUUAGACCCCUAUAGAAUCCUUGAUCUCUGCAAGUUCCCAUGAGUCCUGGUCAGUGUAUUUUAAGGGCCAUGCUUUCCUGAUGUGUCCCUGGCCCCUCUGGUUCCUGUGAUCCUUCCUUCCCCUCCCCCACAGGACUCCCAGAGUUCUGUUUCAUGUUUGGCUGCAAUAGCCACUCUUAAUGAAUGGAGUAUUUUAAGGUUCAUUGAAAGAAGUCACAGCACACUGUUCUUGCUUGACAAGACAUACCACAUGUUCCCUCUCUGUGCCUGUUUUCCUCAUCUUUCACAUGGAAGAGAAUUUCAGUGCAGAAACUGACAUUUCCUGGUUUUGUUUUGUUUUGUUUUUAUCUUAACCCAAAUAUGUAAAACUAAUUGAGCAUGAACCUUAGAGCUUCUAUGAUGUAAUCAGAACAGAGUGAGACCCUUCCCCUACCAGCUCAGGGCCAACCCACUCCUCAAAAGGGAAGGCUCGGUCUGUAAACCAUCAAGUUAGGAGGCUGGAUCCUCUCCUCUCCUCUCCUCUCCUCUGACUGUUGGCAAAGCCAUUUGUUGUUAAUAUGUCUGCCCAGUCAUUUCCCAACUUGUGAAUGUGCUUUGCUGCUUGCAUUACCAUCUUGUGCUUGCAGCUGGCUCAGAUUCCUGGAUCCCUCCCUUCCUUCCAUCCCCCAGUCAUGGUGUGGCGCUGCAGGAGCCUUCAGACACCUUGAUUCCUAAAUAACUGUGGUAUUGCUAAUAGCCUUCAGUUCUCUCAAUACUUUUAUGCUCAGCCCCAUACUCCGUGCCAUUGGUCAGCCUCUGCACAAUGCACACCAGACUUCAUCCUUUGGCUGAUGUUUCCCUAAAUGCUUAGUUCUUUGCUAGGGUAUCUGUUGUGGCAGUCUAGUUUUGAGGCAGCCUGUGCUCACUUCAGGGGGCUUCACCUAUCACUUUUAGCCUGAUACGGUCCCAGAGGCUUGCCUCUGACCAGAUACCAUGGUUACUUUCCUAUGCCUGUUACCUUGGGUUAUACAGUGUGAGAGGCAGAGAAGCUGAUAUGUCUGCUUCAGUUACUGACUUAGUAGCUGGCCCACAGCAGAUGCUAGACUCCAGUUGAUGCAAUAUGGUUAUUCCUUUUCUGUCUGGAAGCUCCUUCCUACCUGGUAAAAUCAUUCUUAGCCUCCUUUCCCUGUUCCCAGCAACUCUUCAGUCAAGACUUCCUUUGCAAAGCUCAUGCAGGAUUGCUGACUGGAUCAAUUCCUCAGAAAGCACUGCUUUACCCUACUACUGUCACAAAGAUAUGUACAUCCCCAUCACAUGGGAGUACAUAUUUAAGCUUUAUUAAGAAUUUUUGUGAAAGCCGUUGUUCUGAACUGAAAUUCUGCAUGAGGCCUCAGCAGACCAAACCUAAACAGAGCAGAGUCGCACAUGUUUUGCGUGGCCAAUCCAAAUUCUGAAAAGAACUAGGUUCUGUGAAGAGAGUGAAUCUACAACUAAUCAGGAUGCUCUGUACCUGGGAUGGCCUGAAAAAGAUGUCCUCUGUGUUUUAGUUCUAUAGAAAAGGAGCUUUGAGAUCACCAGUCCAACUUUUGUUCCCUUUAGGACUUGUAAAAUCAAGCUGCUCCAUUCAUUGACUCUCUCAAUUGAGCUGGGCAUGGUGGAUCAUAACUAUAUUCCAGCACUCUAGAGUCUAUGGUAAUCUAAGGAUUACCAUGACUUCGUCCCAAGCCUUGGUAACAUAAGAACUUUAGUUGAUAAAAGGAAUCAUGCAGAGGUGUGUUUCAUGAACCAGCCCUAGGCACUUACUCAUCUAGUAAAACCAAGUCAAAAUGAACCAUCCCUGCGCUCUUUGUCCCUUACACCUUUCUAAAAUGCACCUAGUGCCCACUGCCAAACUAUCUGAAAUGGUUUGAAUGAAAUGAUACAUGAUGUGACAGCUUUCAGCCAGAGCUCAAGACUACAAAUUUGUACUGAAAUUCUAGAUUUCCUAGGACAUCAGCAACUAUACCAAUUUACUUUAGCAAAAGCAGAUGGGUAUUCAAUGACAAAGAGAGGAAUAGGACCUGGAAUUUUCAGAGUUCCCAAUGUGCACCCCGCAUUAAGUCUAUAAAGCCAGUGACCUCAGAUGCCCCAAUGUGUUUUCAGACUUUCUUAUGGGAUCUUUUGGCUCUGGAGGUAGCAUGUGCUCCUCGAAUCUUCUUGAGGACUUCAAACCACAGAGCAGUCCUCCAAGUGGACCAGUGAGUUCUACAUGUGUGGACAAACACUGGCUAAUCUUGGACCACAGUCUCUUCUCACCAGCUAAUAAAUGUUUUUCUGUGCUAAAGGAGGCUGUGGACUGCCAGCAAGUGGAGAAGUCGGAAGUGUGUCUUUCAAUCCUCACACUUUCCAAAAAUUAUUUCCAUUCAUGGUCUCCUUCUUGGUUCCUGCAUUCUUUAGCACUACAUUCACUGCCUGGACCUUCUCUCUCUGCUCAGGGUCAUCUUAUUGUAUCUGUCCUCCUUCCUUGUCCAGCUUGUUUCACAGCUCUGAUUGCAACAGAAAGGGUCUUCUUUGCACUGCUUUUACUUUUAAAGAUAGAUCAGAUACAGCAGAUUCUUUGGGAUUUACCUUACAGUUACGGUGUGGUGGUGCUUUUGGAGGUCUGAGGUGCCUUUGAAAUAUAGCUGCGGUUUUAGAAUGAAAGAUCUUGCCUUUCAUCUUCCUCACUUUAGGGACAAUAUAGCCAAACUCAUCACUAGCUCCCAAAUAUCUGAGUAAAUUGAUGUUUUCAGGGAAUAUAGUAUCCAAGUGAGAGCAUUACAUGGCUAAACGUCUUUCUCAUUCUUUAUUUCUUCUUACUGGUGUAAAAAUCUUCCUUGGAUGGUUCUCUCUUUUAAUAGCCAGAGGCAGUAGAAGGAAACAUGACAUAACAUCUGACCACAUGCUAUCAUCUGUUCACUUAUCUAAUUGAAGUUUCUCAUGGCCCUUCAUUCUUCAGAAAUAAAGCAGCACACAUUCAUCUUAAAUCCAGUUGAUUAUCUGCAGACUGCCAUGUUCUGGGAGAAAGUUCUGAUAUCACAGUCUUGUUCUUAUGUUAUUGGCUGAAGAUUGAAAGUCCAGGCAUGCAUUUCUACCUAGUUUGGUAAGUAACACAUGUUAGGCUCACAAGGCUUAGGACCACCUGGUGAUGUCUGCAGUAGCCAUAGCUACCCAGUGACUUCUUUAUUUUAAUUACUGAGCACUGACUGCCACUUUGAUGAUGAAUAUAUGCCCCCAGUCUGGCCUAAAGGACCCGUAAGGUCACAGUAUAACUAAUUAUAAUAAGAGAUAUACUUUGUACUUGUGUUUUUCCCUCCUCUCUCUGACUUUGGAAAGCCUCAGCCAAGAGAUGGGGCUGCCAUUCUGCUCAGCUUAGCAUUCUGUUGAAUAAGGAAAGGGAACUUUCGUAGUUAUCACACAUUUGGCAGUACACAGUUGAUGUUUUUCAGAUCUAGACUUUGAAGCAUCCUUCCAGCAGGCAGUUUUUAGUUCCUGGAGUCAAGGCAAGCCUCUGCUUUAGUGACACAGAUGAACAGGAUGCUGGGAUUGCUGUUGGGAGAGGCGGUGUGAAUCUAUUUUUGAGUUAACUCUGGAGACAGAAUGGAUUGCCUCUGUCUAGGAGACAACCUUUGGCUGUAUACUUUAUCUUUUUGGUGAAUUAGGUAAUUAGAGGUCAGUUUGCUAAGUGUUUUGAAUCCAGAUAAGAAUUAAGUUUUGUGAAAUAAUCGUAUUACAGAAAAUGAGGGAAUUAGAUAAGCAACUUUUGUUUGCAUUAGGUAAAUUUAUACCAGAUACAGCCCUGGGUGGCAACAGAAUUGUAUGUAGUGGUGGUGAUGGUGGCUUGUGUGUGUGUGUGUGUGUGUGUGUGUGUGUGUGUGUGUGUUCUCUGGAUUAUACAGGAAACAAGAGUGAAGGGUGAUCCAUCCUGUUCUUCUGGGGAGCACGCACCAGCAAGGGGAUCUGCAGGGAAUAAACACAGACAUCCUAUGGUGUUCACUGGCUGUAACUCCACUUCCUCUGAAGAACCUCUACUGUUUAGGUGCUCACUGACUCCGGGCAUGGUGCAGAAACCAGCUUAUCUUUUCCUCCAGUGAUAGGUCCUACCUACCACAUGCCUACCACAGGCUGCGGAGCAAACAUUCUUCAGAAUCUUCUAGAAACAAGUGUUCUCCCAUAGAACUCCCAUAAGAAACUCUCUGAGCAGGCACUUAGAUGUGUAUAUAUUCCAAGACAGGGACUUUCCUUGGUGCUAGCAAAGGAUUGGUACUGAGAUCUAAGGAACCUGAGGCCCAAGAGCAUUCUCAGGACCAUAGUGGCAGAGGAACGUCUCCUUCCUCUUCCUCCUGUUCCUGAGGAUCUUGCUGACAGAAAUGUGCAUGUUUCAGUCUCCUGAGACUGUCAUUUUCAUUAAUCACACAGAACUAUAAAAUAAGACCACUCCCAGUGAAGAAUAGAUUUCAUAAUUUUCUUAUGAAUAUGAAUAUGUCAUUUAAAAAUUAACAGCUAGUAAUUUGGCUUAAAUUUGCAUGUCUCUUGAGAAAGGUAAAGCGUUAAAUAUGUCAUCAUGAUUUGUCCCAUAAAUAGAUGAAUUGUGCCAACCUCAUGUGGUUCAGACUCCUCCAGCCAAGCAAAUCCUGAGUCUGGACUGGAUGUCAUCUAGACAAUGGGUCUUGAUGCCCUCAUGACUGAUUAAACCAGUGGUUCCCAACCUCUGGGUCAUCCCUUUGGGAAUUGAGCCACUCUUUUCACAGAGGUCACAUAUCAGAUAUCCUGCAUAUCAGAUAUCUACAUUACUGUUCAUAACAGUGGCAAGAUUAUAGUUAUGAAGUAGCAAUGAAAAUAAUUUUAUGGCCGGGGGUUGGCACAGCCUGAGGAACUGUAUUCAACUGUGACAGCAUUGAGAAGGUUGAGAACCACUGGUUUAGACUAUAUGUCCCUUACUUCUUUGCCGACCCUGACAUGAACCUAAGUCUUCAUUUAUCUGGGAUUGUUCUGUGCGUGUGUGCACUACUCCCAUUCCAGAAGCCUCUUCUGCUAUUAGCUCAGAGUGUGGCACCUGCACGCACCCUGCGGGAAGACAUCUGUACUGGGACACUCGAGUAAAAACAGAGAUUCAAAAAACCAGACACUAGUGAGCAUUAUCUCAGUGCCUUCAGACAGGGUGGCUACACAGUCAUGUACUCAUGCAGGUAAGGCUACACAUUGUAUUUAAGUCCUCACAUCUUUGUCUUGCCAUUCAUAACUGUUGACCAAUGAGAUAUACUUCUUUUAUUUUAUACUCUGGAUGCCACAAAUUAUGUUGGAAUUUCUGUUUCUGAUAAAUCUCACUCUUCAACUGGGUCCUUGGUUUUUAUUUUAUAUGGGUCUACCAUCUGUAAUUCCGCCGUUGUUUAAGUAAUUGACACAGUAUCAUGUCUAUCAAGUCUACUUAAAAAUUAUACCAGAUUACAUAUAUGUAAAUAGCUGGGCUUUUUGGUUCAAUACCUACUAGUUACUUCUUGAAGUUACUUAAAAGAUUAUCAUGUGUCAGUUGUCGCACAGAGAUGAGAGCGUAUGGGGGUUGGAGAGGCAUGACUUAUUUGGAGAGAGGAGAGAGGGAAGAGUACAUGAAGGAUCAUUUAGGCAGGAAGAGAAGGAUACAUUGGAAGGGGGUUAUUUGGAAAGUGGAGGAAGGAAGAGAACACUAGGAUGAACAAAAGAGCAUGUCCAGCCUCUGUUUUGUAUAAAUUAACUCAAUUAUAGUUGGAUCAAGUAUGGGUUAAUGAGAUAAUCUGUCAAAGUGCCUGGGGUAUUCCUAAACAUGCUAAAUGAGACCUAUAAUAAGUGGGUUUCUCUUCCUUGCUCUGAGACAGGCUUUUCUAAAUACAGAGAGGAAGCCAGCAUUUUUCUGGCAGAGGAAGUUUUAAGUUUAAUGUAUGACAUAUCCAUUCCUGAUCCCUGUGGUUAGGAAGAUGCCUAGACUCAUGGGCAUGGACUCAUAUGGCAUCCAUUUUUUCUUUGAUAACAUGUAGAGAGAUUAGCUCUGGUGAGAAAACACAGAAUUCUAUUUCCUGAAUGAAAGAAUAUAUUUGCAUCAAGAUGUUCCCUUAUUCUCCACUCCCACUUGGACCUCGGUUCUGUGGCACUGUUGUAUGACAUUUUCUUGAAGAGAAUAUGAACAAAUAUGUACUAAUCCCACAGACAGGAGGCCAAUCACAGACCAAAGAACUAAUUCUAUCAAAGCCUAGCUUGAUGAAUCAGUUAGUGUAAUGGGGUUAUUUAUAGGGGAUCAAGUGGACAUCUACACCACCAAGGAAAUAUCCAUCUCCUCCAGGAACUGUUAAUUUAUAUACCCUUGGAAGGUGGUCUUGUGAGCCCCUCUUCCCCUGCUAUGGACAGUUAAUGCGUCCAAUCCUUUGGUAUGGCGUAUAAAGAGGGCAAUAGCAGCCGUGUUCUACACCAAAGCUUGCAUUCUACAACUGUGCUAACCAGUCAGCUCCUUCUGUCAUUGAUGGAGCUCCAUGCACACCCUUGCUCAGCCAAGUGGUUAGAAUCCCUGCUGUUCCUCCACUGACUGGUGGCCAAAACUUUCUGAUCCACAUCCAUUCAGAGUCGGCCAAGGUCUCUUGAGAAGUGAUGCCAAGCAAACACAAGCUCUUCUCUUCAGGAAUCACAUUUUCCUCUUUACUUUACCGAGUUUAGCAGAGCUUCGUAAGUGGAUGCUAAGAGUGUCCAUGAAUUUUAACAGUAGCAACAUUCUCUAAACAAACCCCUCCACCAUACUGAAAAACAAUCAAACAAAGCCAGAUACCAGCUUUGUCUCAUUGAGUUUUAAGGUCAGAACUUCUACAUUGAUUAUUUUUUUCUUGGUGAUAUAUAGUAAUUCCACAUAGGAGUUUUCUAUUUAAUUCUCAUAUCAUUUAUAUAAUAUAUUGCUUUUUAAACAAGUUAUACAUUAAUAAUUUGUAAUUACAAUUUUAUAGUAGUGGUUAUAUUAUCACAAACAUACACAUAUACACACACUUAUAUAUAUAUACACACACACACACAUCACUAAUUACUACUAUUAGCUAUUAUAGUUUAUUGUCUGUAGCUGUAUCUAGUUGUGAUGCUCAUAACAUUUAAUAUAAUGGUUCUACUAUUGUAAAUGUUAUCCAUUUAGUGGAUUUUUGGUUAUGUGAGAUAACUGAGUAUUGUAGACAUACUAUUCAGUGAGAUUAAUGAUUCAAAUGUAUUCUUGAAUUUAGCUUUGGAGUAUUUUAUUGAGAAUUUUUGUCUCUAAGUUCAUCAGGGAAAUUUGUGGCAAUUUUCUUCUUUUUCUGCUUUUGGUAUCAAAUUGAUAUGAGAUUUGUAAAAAGAGUGAUGCUCCUUCCUUUUCUAUGUCCUGGAGUCGUUGGGGAAGCAGUGGGGAGUAGUUCUCUGAAGUUGUGGUAAAAUUCAUCAGUACAGCUAUAUGAGCCUGGAUAGUUUUUAGUUAGGAGAUAAUUACUGCUUCAAUGUCAUGUUUUGUGAUAUAUCCGUUUAAAUUAUUUCUCUCCUCUUGGUUUAAUUUUGGUAGGUCAUAUACACCUAGAAAUUUAUCCAUUUUCUUUAUGUUUUCCAAUUUAUUGCACUGUGGUUUUUUUUUUUUUCAAUGAAGACCGAAUGUUUUUCCAAGUUUCCUUAGUAUCUGCUGCUCCCUUUGAAUCUCUAAUCAUACUAAUCUGAAUAUUUUGUUUUCUUUCAGUUAGUUUGGCUACGGGUUUGUCAGUACGUGUUAUCUGUUCAAAGACUUGACUCUGCCUCUCUGAUUCUUCACACUGUGUUUGUUUCCAGUUCAUCAUUUUCUGCUCUGAUCGUGAUGAUUUCCUUCCAUCUACUAAUUUAGGAUUUGGCUUUGGGUUUUUCCUCAGAGCUCUAAGAUAUAUCGUUAUUUAUUUGAUAUGGCUCUGAUUUCAUAGUGUACACGUUAAGAGCUUUAAACUUCUCUCUUAAACCUUCUUUCAUUGUAUCCCAUAGGUUUGGGUAUGUUGUGUUUUCAAUUUCAAUUUUUAAAUUUCUUUCUGAUUUCUUUAAGUCCCAUUUGUCAUUAACAGUGUGGUAUUUAAAAUUCCAUGAGAUUAUAUAUGCUCUAUAGUUUUUUUUAAUUUCAGUUUCUCUAUAUUUAUUAACACUUCCUUGGUAUUCUGAUAUAUAUUUUCCUUCCACAGGAUGCUAAAAAAUGUAAAAUUGCAAUUUUGGAUGAGGUGUGCUAUAGCUGUCAGUAAUGUCUACUUAUCAAUGAUAUCAUUCAAUUUGCAUAUUUUUCUACUUGUUUUGUUGAGAAUACCUGUUAUUUAGCAGGAAUGGAUUAUUAAUGUCACCCCCUACUCUUAUACUAGGUUUAACCUGUAAUAUUAUUUUUACCAGAGUUUGUUUUAUGAAAUUGGGCACACCUUUGCUUGGAACACCUAUAUUUCAGAUUAUAAUGACCCUUAGCCAAUAUGAAGUGACAACCCUUAUUGUUUUAUAUUGCUUUCUUGGGUGUUGAAAUAGAACCAACUGCUUGCUUUCAGACCUUGUUUGUUUGGAAUAUCUCUUCUCAUCCUUUUACCCUAAGUUAGUUCCUUUCUUUUAUAAUGAGGUAUGGUUAUUUGAAGGCAGCAAAUAGAUGGCUGUCUUUCUCCUCCUCCUCUUCUUCCUCCUCCUCUCCCUCCUUCUCCUCCUCUAACUUCUCCUUUUUGUCCUCCUUCUCCUCUUCCUCCUCCUCUUCUUCCUCCUCCUCUUCCUCUGCCUCCUCUUCCUCUUUCUUCUUCUUCUCCUCCAGUUUCCUAUCCUGGUUCUUUUGAUUGAGAAUUUAGACCAAUAAUACUCAGAUCUACCAUUGAAGCUGUGCACUGCUCUCUUUGUUGAAUUCUUCUUGCAUGUCUUGCAUUUCUUUCUUAUUUCAUUCAGAUGCUUUCCUGUGUUCUCAUCCAGCAGCUUACUUUCUUCAUCAGUUUCUUUCAAUAUACUCACAAUCAUUCUUUCCAGUCCUGUUUCACAUUUCAUCUAAUUUGCACUCACUAAAUGACAUUGCUGCAGUAUUAGUAAGUUUCGGAGGACUUAUACUGUCUUAGCUCUUUUUAUGGUUCUUGUGCUAACUAUUGGGCUUUAUAGAGCUGAGGUUGCAAUGUUUUGGGGUGUUUUGUUUUCUUUUGCUUCUUUACUUUUUAUAAGCUAUUUUAUUUUUCAGUUGAAAAAUUAGUAAUGUUCAUGUGAGACUUGGAUGUUGUAGAGUUCCCCAUUCCAGGAACUUACUGCCAGGUGGAAACUGUAGAGUGAAUUAUUGGCACAUUUAGGCUGAAGUGAGGUUCCCAAAUUCCUCUGACGCCAGCAGGUUCUGUGUGAUGCUGUCUAUAGGAAAGGUAAGAAGGAACCAUUGGUUCUGUAGCUUCAAUGUUCCUAGGGUUCUGGCAUGUAUUCUACACUUCACCGUGACCUCUGCUAGUCCUGCAGGUUCUUUUUGUGUGGGGUGAAGCUAUUCCUCAUAGCUCCUGCUGCUCUCUCCUAGGCAGCUUGAUUGGGCUGCCCAGGCUACCAAGCCUUAGAGAGCGCUUCCAGCUGGGCAGUAAUUCUCAGCUUCCCUGCCUGCUCCUUGGCUUAAUAACCUCCUUUACAGACCUUGUCUCUUGGAAGAUAAGAGCAUAAUGUGUGUUAUUGUCAAGUGGAGCCUUUGAGACAUAAUUAGGCCAUGAGAGGGGAACCCUUGUGAAUAGGGUUAGUGCCCUUAUAAAAGAGACUGAAGAGAAAUAUGUAGCUACAUAAUAAUUUGAAGUGUGUCGAUAAAAUGGGUAAUUUAUCUAUUGGGGAAAACAUAAAUUUCAAAACUGAAAUGAAGAGAAGAGAGAAACAGCAAUAUUGAAGAAACUAUUAAAAAACAUUUAAAAAAUUCUCCACUGAAAUAGAUGAUUUUUAGAUCCCUCUUUGGAUUGGUGGUCUAUAGGCUAUGAAAUGUGAUGGGUUCACUGUAGAGAGAUGUAGAUGCACCUGUUCAAACUGUGGCUGCGACCAAGAGUUCAUUGGCCAAGAUAAGCACAGAGCACGGUGCUUGUACAAGACAGCCUGUGGUAUAUCCACCACAGAGUUGAUUGGUGAGUCCUAGGGACUUUGCAAUGGUAGUAGUGUGCAUUUGUGCAGAAGAAAAAGGAGCAUCUCUGCCCAUAUCAGGGCUGUGAGACUGAUUCCAAUACCUUAAGCUGUGCCCUUUAAUUUGAACCCCUGGUGAACUACAUUUAAAGGGCCACAUGAAACCAAGGCCUAGGUUUAUUUUUUAGGGGUUUCUGCCACUUCAGGAUAAUUUUUAUAUUUUUUAAGGAUUGGUAAGUCUAAACUAAAUGAAGCUAGAAUCCUGUGACAAGAGUAUACCCAAUCUACUAAACAAUACAAGAACAUAUAUGACAAAGUCCAUUACACAAAAUUCAGUGUAUUUGCUUUCUAGCCUGUGGUGGUUUGAAUGGAAAAUUUGCCCAUGGGCUCAUGCUUUUGAACACUAUUUCCCCUGAUGGAGGUGUUUGUGAAGGUUGUGGAAUUGUUUGGAGGCAGAGCUUUGCUGGAGGAAGUAUGCCACUGGGGGUAGGCUUGAAGUUUUAUAGCCUGCCCCCACUUCCUGUUUUCUCUGUUUGCUGUGUGGUUAUAAUGAUCCUGAUCCUGCUUCCAUGUCUUCCUUGUCUGUUGUGAUGCCUUCCCGGCCAUGUGUUCUGCAUCCAUUUGAAACUGACUCAAAACAAACCCUUUUUUUUUCCCUUAAGUUGCGUUUGCUUUUUGUUUUUUGUUUCUCACAACAGAAGAGCAACUAUAGGACUCAUCAUAGAGAAUUGUCUUCUAACACCUGCUCAGCUGGCACCACCAGCUUUUUACCUUCUUGAAGAAUAUCAGCUUCUUCUAUUUAAAGGUAGAAUGCCUUAGAGAAUGCAGAAAGUGGACAAAAUUAGGUCCAAAAGUCUUUUUUCUUUACUAUAUAGCUAUAUACAAGGGAUCCAGGGGUAGUAGAAGGUUUAGAUAAUAAUUAUCAAAUUUUGGAAGUAAAGUAAGAGUCUGUGAAAGACAAAGGGAAGAGAAGAAAGAUGAAAUAAAUGACAUCAUCAUCUAAGUCAUAUGAAGAAAAUCAUUUUUAGAAACCCACAUGGAAAGAGUGACAAGUAUUGGACACACACUGGGAUUUGUGACAGUAUCAGUCGUGUAGAAAUGUCACUCAUUUAGAACAUAUGUAUGUAGGCACACUUCUCUGGUUCAGGCAUCGUUUUCAUUACUGAAAUACAAACUUCGAGUCUGAGAAUUGGCUGAGAUGUGGCAACAGUCAGUGCACUCCAUGGAGAAGGCUAUUUUCUUUCUACUGUGGUGGGAAAGGAAGUAAUGGAGGGUGCCUGGCUUCAGGAAGCCAUGCCUAGUGAAAGCUUAGCCCACACUCGUUAUCCUGCACUCUCAGGGUAAACAUGAAAUCAUUCAGGAAGAACUGAAAACUAGAACCAGGACAGGAGAGGUAGUAGUUGAAGUAUUUCAUUAGAGUUGCCCAUUUAUCCUGCAAUAGACUUUCCCCAGGUAGUUCUGGUGGAAUUCUUUACUAACUACCUCUGAGGUCCUAAAACUGUGUGGGGGCAUUCACUGAAGAACACUGCCAAUUUCUUCCCCCUUUCCAGCCUCAAUCAUCUUCCCCGCUGAUUUCAUUGGUUUGAGAUUCAGAGGUAGGGUCUUGAGUGGAAGUAAAGUUGUACUCCUCUGGUGCAUUGUCUAAGUGGGAAAGUCCACCUCCAGCCAAGGCAAGGCAUCUAUAGCCUUAGCAUCCAUCUGAAGCAUGCAGUACUUAAUUGCAUUGCUGAUGAGUCGGUAGUGGAACCCAAGGCAGCACACAUGCUAGUCAAGUGUUUUACGACUGAGUUCAGGAGUCUGAGGAAAGAUGGUAACAAUUCCAAGAUCAGCCUGGGUUACGGAGGAAGUUAAAUGUCAGCUUAGAAGACUUAGUGAUAUCCUAUUUCAAAGGGGAAAAAAAAGAGAGGCCUUAGACUCUAGCUCAAUGGCAGAGCAGUAGAUUCACAUGCAUGAGACCCUCUGUUCAAAUACCCUCAGGAUAGUUUCCACAUUUUUAGCUGUGCAUCAAUCAAUUAUUGAAGUUUUCUGUUCCGGUGGUCAAGAACUUCAACAAAGAUGUUUGCUAACUAGGCUUUGGCUUCGGUCCCAAGUGUCAACCAAUACAUAAUUCAUGUGAAAAUAAACACUCCUGUUUUUGCAGUUCCAGUAGAAGUUGUUAGAUUUUUUUAAUUUGUUUGUUUUCCCAGUUAACUCAAAGUCUCAUCAGCUAUGUUUUAUUUUUUAUGCUUUAUAUCUUUAGCCAAAAACCUCAAAUGAAAGAUUGGGAGAAUGUCUGAAGUUUAUUAAAAGAGCAUAAGAGAAUACACGAUUAGAGGCUUGCUCAGUUCACGUAUAUUACAUCUACAGGGCUGCAGACCCCUAAGGGAUGAGUGCCCACGGACCAGAGACUGUUAGGGAUGGGAAUAUGUCUUCAUUCUGAAUAACCUCUGCUCUCCCUUGGUGCACAUACUUUGUGUAGUCCGGUCUGCGAGGUAUGAGGCGAGCUUCAUCUUUAACAUAUAGAGCUCAAGAGUUGAAGGGAAAAAUAUAACCAGUUCAAGGCCAACCUGGGCUUGGGUAUCUUAGUGAGAUACUAUUUCAAAAUAACUAGUAAAGAGAGCCUGAGUUUAACUCCCAGUAUCAUAACAUUCACCACCAUUGUGAAGCUUGAUGCCUAAGAAUAAAAUUUCCAUCUAUUACUUACUGGAAACUCCCAAGAGUAAUAGCUAGGACAACAGCAGGAGUGCAUUUCAGGGCAUUUAGCAUUUACCUUAAACCUAGUAGUGCCUGAUUUAGCUGCCUAGAAUGCCUAGUCAAAAGAAUAAGUUUCCAUGUAUAGGCAGAAUGAAGGUCAUUACAGUCUGCUUCACUGAGACACCAGGAAGACAUUUGUUCUGCUAUACUCAGCCGACUUACUGUGAGAAUGUAAGAUUGACGUGGAAGCUGCUUCCUCAUUUAUGCACAACAUGGCUCUGAAAGGGCAUCUCUCAGCUCUGAGGAAGUGUGUGGGCUUUUUUCAUCCUUUGGAUGGCAGACCAGGUGAGUCUACCCAGUUUACAAAGGCAGCUUUGUACCUAAAGCCUGGAAAGGUCUACUUGUCUCCCAGUGUGGCUCACACUGAUAUGGCAACCCACUACACAGAGCUUCACUUCUCAGUGUGGCCAGUUUAUGGUGACAGAAGUCCAUACCAAGAAUUCUGCAGCACUGUGCUCGGUGGGGUUGUAGAUGUAGGUACAUUACAUUCAUCCCAAAGAUACAGGAUCUCUAGAGUAUGGGAAUCUAAUUUAUGAAUCCCUGGAUCCCUACCUACAUGUCAUUGUGUUGAUAUAUGGCGAUCUCUAAAAGCACUUUUGUAUCUUAAUUAAUUGAAACCACUGUGCUGAAAGACAAAUGUUUUCCCAUGUAUGUUGCCAAGACAGUGUUUCAACCCUAGUGUCCAUCAGCUGAUGGGUGUAUAAAAAUAUAUCAUGAAUAUGCACUGUGUCAUAUGACAUAUCCAUAAGUAGGGUGAUGUAACAUAUAACCUGGGUAAGACUGGAGAACAUUUUAAGAAAGCUAAGACAAGCACAAAAAUAUGAAGGUGACCUAGACACUGGACCUUGAAAACAUGAUCACACAGAAGUUGAAAGUAGAGUAAUGGUUCCAAGGGGCAAGGAAUGGGAGGUUAAGAAGAUGUUAGUCUAUGUGUGUCAUGUCAUGUUAUUGCUAGACAGGGAACUGAGCUAUGCUGUUACAUCACACAACUGAGUGAAUGCAGACAGCAGUAAUGCACAAUCAUGGCAGUAUGUGUGCCUUAUCAGAAUCAGAGAGCAUGGAGAUAUAGGUCAGUAGUAGAACUCUUACCUCUCCAUGCCUUGGGUUUGAUGUUUAGUAGUGUAAAAAUGACAACAAAACUAGUAAAUGUACUUAAUAUCUCCAGGUAGCUAAAAAUUCUCAUCAUAAGAGAUGAAGGUGGUGAAUUAUACAAUGUAUGCAUAUAUUGAAACAGAAUGUUGUACCCUAUUAAAUAGAUAUGAUUGGUAUUUGUCAAAAAAUAAAAGUAAAAUUUUUUAUUGUCAUAUUAAAAGCUAUGAUAAUUUGUAUUAAUUGUUGACUUGAUAGAAUCUAUAGUCACCUAGGAGACAAUCCUCUGGGCAUGCCUGUGAUGUGUUAUAUAGACUAAGUUAGCCUUUUGGUAUAUGUGUGAAGAGUUAGGUUAGUUAGGUUAAUGGUGGGAAGACCUACCCUGAAUAAGAGUAGCAUAGCCUGGGCUAUGGUCUUGGAUUGUAUAAAAGGAGAAAAAGAACUGAGAACCAAUAUCCAUCUCUCUGUUGUGUGUCCUGACUGUGGAUGCAGCAGGACCGGCUAUUUCAAACUCCUUCCUCACUUAGUAUACAGAGUCUACAAUGGUUACAGUCAUUGUCUUAAUCAACAUUGGUGGGUAAGUUUGACAUGGCAGUUCAUGCCUGUAAUUCUAGCACUUAGGCAAUUGAGGCAGUAACGAUGUUACUGAUGAGUUAGCAGAUAAUCUAGGGUAUGUAAUGAAUUCCAAGUCAUCUUGGGGAACAAAGUAAGACUUUGUCUCAAAAGAUAAACAAACACAAAGAAAUAUACAAACAAACACAAACCCUCCAACAAAAAUAAGAGAUGAACACAGUCUAACUGCCAUUUUAGGUGAAAUAAAACUAUAUUCAAACUGUGCUGCUAUAGUAUAUGUGCAUAUAUAUAUAUACACACACUUGGCAUGUAUACAUGCUUGCAUAUGGAAACCUGAUGUCAGUAUCAGGUAGUUUUCUUGAUUGUGCUACAAUAUAUUUUUAGAGAGAGUCUCUCAUUGAAUCUGGAGUUCACUGAUUUGGCUUUAGGCCUAGCCACUGAGCUAUGGCGAUCCCAGGAUUGUGCCUCUGUGCCUGGCUUAUUAUGUUGGUAUUAGAUAUUUGAACUAAGACCUGGAACCAUUUUUUUUUUUUUUGCACAGUCACUUCCCUGGGCCAUGCAUUUUUAAAACAGUGCCUUGGGCUGCAAGAAACCAUAAUCACAAUUAGUCAAUCCAUUCAUGAAGCCUACCCACAAAUGAAUUUUGAACACUGUGGCCACUCCCAGAAUAAUUUUAGAACCUGAUUGGCCAUGGAAAUGCUAAGCUGCAGUAAGAGGAGGCUCAGCAUAAUUAAAUUGUUUAAAGGAUAUAGAAAUUCUUUAUGUAAGAAUCAUGGAUGGGUACUUCAGUCUGGUAGCUUCUCUAGUCUUCUUUUAUUUAGGGGAAAGGCUCCAUCGCGUCCAGUGUGAGGCUGCAGUCAUUGGUCUUUGUCCCAGCAAUAACCAUAGAUACUACAAGCCAGUGUCUUGUUCUAGCUUUGGAGAUAAGAUCCUUGGGGAAACCUAAGGUGGAGCCACAGCCUGCUAGGGUGACUCUAGAGGUUGAGAUUGCUGUCUAGAAGACAUGCUACUACCAUAGAAGGUGAGGAAAUGGAUUUUCAUGUAGUGUUUCAUGGGAUAAAUCCAAGUUCUACAAAAGAUAUGCUGACCUGCAAUGUAUAACUUGCUACUGACAACUGAGAUAAUCUCAAUUUUCUUUCAACUUGAAAAUUUGAGCCAAUAAAUAGGGAGUCAGGUAUUUGCUUCCAAAUCAGAAGCUUCUCCAUUUUGAAAUGCUUUGUAAGUCCAGGGUGCGCUUACUUUCUAAACUCCUGUUAAGGUUGUCCUCAAGUAUACCCAAGGGACCAACUCACCUGGCAAACUACAUCCUUUUCACUUUUUCCCUAGAAGUGUGCACCCACUGCAAUCUCUGGCUCUACAGCUAGACAUUCACCCUAAAGACAAAUCAGACAGAAAAGACAAGAAUAUCACUGAUAUUCCCUUUGAGGAAUCUGAAGAUAUUUGGCAUUUCUUUUCAUGGUGUACCUUAUGUGUCAAGAGGAGACUCGUGUUCCUAAACUGGUGUUUUGUCCACCAUCUCCUCCAUUUUUCAAGGUGCUAAGAUUGAAUCCAUGACCUCGAUACAUGAGAGAUAAGCACUCUACCACUGAGCUGUAGACCCAUAGGCACUUGCAAAGCACUGUGUAACAUUAAGUAAUUUAUCACCAGGUCACACCACAAAGAAUGUGAGCUUGGGCUUCAGUUGUCAGCAAUUUGUCAUGUUUGUCUCUUUCCUAAGUAUUAGUAUUUCAUUGUGUUAAAACCUGGCCAUUCGUAGUAUCUCCAUGUGAUCAGAAAGGAGUAAAUAUACUACCACUCUACCAUUUUGGUUCUUCUUCUUUAAAUAAGCUUGAACAGACAUUAUCACGUUGAUUGUAACCUCAAUAGUAUUGUUAUAAAAUUAAACCCUCAAUAAUGGUCUGUAAACUAAAAUGUGAUAUUGAAUUGUAACUACAUUACUUGGAAGAGAAAUAGUGCAGGCUUGUUAGGCAUUUUCUAAAAUACAAGUCUGGCUGUCAUUGCUGCUAGAGGGGCAGUGUAGCACCUGUGUGCCCACAAUUUAUGGCCAAACCCCACAACCCUCAUUGAUUACCUGGUCUCAGCAGGGUUGAAACUUGCCCACUACUAUGGAAAGUUAUGGCCUGCUAUUGGGGAAAGGACUUUAAGACAAGCAGCCCGCACUCCUGCAGCCUGAUAGAAUCAAAUUGCUUUGUCAUGCCUUUCAAAGUAAUUCCUGCCUAUAAGACAGCCUCAGAAGGUACCUAACCCUUUGGGGAUGUGUAUGCAUAUAUGUUUUAAUGAGCCAAAUACUUGAGAUGUGCUCCGAGUUAGGUGUCAGAUAGAGUGGGCGUGAUAAAACUAUUCUUGAUAAGUCCCCAUCCCUAGAGUAGAGUCAGUUAUGUGGCCGCAGGUUAUGUCAUGUGCUGAGAAGUAACAGGCGUGGAGCUGUGAGGCAGUGAGGAAGAACACACUGUCUUCCUUUGCCAGCUCUGCCCUGCCAGUGUUGCUGAGCACUGUGUGUGUCUGAGAAGGGCUGCAGAACUCCCACUGGUGCGGCUGGGUUUUCACACUCCUCCCCGAGCUCUUGUGUCCUUCUAACAUUUCUGAUUAUAGCUCCCAAUUUUUUUUUUUUUUUAAUCUUCCUUGGUCCUAACAAGACCUUAAGUUUCUAGGGAAACCACUAACUAUCUUCACCCAGUACUCUACAGUUUUCUUAAUAAAUCAUCAGCAGUGCUUCCAUACAAUGCAGGAAUGACAGUGUUGGGAUAUUUUGAUUUCCCUUUGUGGGAAAAUAUAUUAUAUAGACAAAUGUAUCUAUGAUGGCAAGAAAUGAAAAGCCAAGCUUGUAGACCAUAUUAUAUAACUGUGGUGGUAAUAAGAGCUUUCAGCAAACAUGUAGUAUGUUUUUAUGCAACUCAUGCAUGUCCUGGCUCCAUCAGGGAAUCCCCAUGUAGCCAGUGGCAACAGACCAUCAGUCACCAGUGUUUGCUCUGGCAUGGACUGGCUGGGCUUUAAACUCUGACCAUCUAACAAAGUAGUCUACUGUAGUGAAACUGUACCAUUGAGGUAAUGGUUCCAUUUUGUAUGGGGGAAGAUAAAAUUAGAUGCCAGAUUUUAUAGCUUACUUUAAAAACAAGCUAUUUGCUAUACGAGUACUUUCCAUGUAAUGAUCACAGCUCCCUCUGGCUUAAGCAUUAGGCACUGGUGAUAAUAUUUUUGUACACUGGGCAUCAGAAGGGAAAGGUUGUAAUCAGUACCAGUUUCGUGGAACAUGCUCAUCUUGAUUGAUGGGCUGUGUCUGUCUUCUCUCAUGAUAGUCAUUGUUCUCAAAGGAAGCACACCACCCCUGUUUCCUUGGUAGCUGAAUGAUAGCUCUGCCUUGCCUUAAUUGGUAGCAUGUGGUGAACUGAACAAGGCAGCAAAACCAGCUUCCAAAGCCACCAGCAUCCUCUUGUUGCCCAGUCCAGUAUAGCCUUUAGUCUCAGAUUGACUGCCCUGUCUCAGCUGGUAAACCCAGUAGGUCCCUAGCUCUGUACCGUACCCUGGACAUAUGCAUGAGUGAACAAAUAAAUGAGUGGUUAAAACUUGGUGAAGAGAUGGAGGCAUAUAUUCAGUCCUAUUUAAUUCUUUUUUAAAUCAUAUGUUUAUUUAAGCAUAUACCAUCACCAGUAUAUACCACCUUCCCCUCAAGUACCAUGAUACUUCUAUGGAUGCCAGAGGACAACCUGAAGGAGUCAAUUCUCUCCAUCUAUCAUGUAGGUACUAGGGAUCAAGCACAGUCAUCAACUUUAUGGCAAGGGCUCUACCUCCUGAGCCACCUCACUAGCCUGGUUCUUCUGUUCUUAAUUCUGCUCUACAUUCUUAAUGCUAUUGGAUGUGGAUUCUGGAUGGAGCAUUUAGGUAAAGCAGAGUGGGUGUAAUGGUUUGUACAUGCUUGACCCAGGAAGUGACAUUAUUAGAAGGCGUGGUCCUGUUGGAGUAGGUGUUGUCUUGUUGGAGUACGUGUGCCACUGUGGGUGUGGGUUUUAAGACCCUUAUCCUAGUUGUCUGGAAGUCAGUAUUUUACUAGCAGCCUUCAGAUGAAGAUGUAGAACUCCCAGCUCCCCCUGCACCAUGCCUGCCUAAAUGCUGCCAUGCUCCUGCCUUGAUGAUUAUAGAUUGAAUGUCUGAUCCUGCAAGCCAGCCCCAAUUAAAUAUUAUCCUUAUAAGAGUUGUCCUGGUCAUGAUGUCUGAUCACAGCUGUAAAACCCUAACUAAGACAGUGGGGCUUGCAAUAUUCGGAAACUUUGCCCAACAUGGAACUUUAUCUCUGAAAACCUGAAAUGAUAGGAAGUUGUUAAAUUAUCCUGGCAUGAACUAAGGGUGUGGUUAGUGGGCAAUGUUUAAUAAGUAUGUCCUAAAGCUCUAAGGUCAACUCUUUAGGUUUCCUUAAAAAAACAUUUUCAGGUCUUUGUUUAUUCUCUGGUGUCAUCCCAUGAGUUUCAGCUAACUUUGUCUUGUUUUGAAGAGAUAUAAGCUUUUUGUUUCUAAAGGAAGAAAAGUAAAGAAAACUGUACCAAGCAGAAUUUAUCGGCCCACUAAGGGAGAUUCUGGCCAUCUUUGGGGUACCCAUGACACUGUUAGCCAGAAUGGUUCUGAUAGACUAUUACACUUAGCCAAGCAGUAGGAAAGUAACCUCAGCGUUUCUUUUGUCCUGCCUUCCACUGCAGUCCUCUGUGGGGAAUUUAACUCAACAGCUACAACAUUGUGUGAAUGCCAAUUCCCAUGGUGGUGGUGUUGGGGGAACAGUCAAUUUAAGAAUGCCAGCUUAGAUUCAUUCUGCAAGGGGUAAACAUUCUUUGAGCGAGGCAAUGUGGUUGCUUCCUACUCCCAGGAAAUGGCGGAUAUUGAUCCCUCAUACCUCAACAGUAACGUUCAAUGAAAGUCAGAAUAAAUGAGCUGAAGUGCCGUUGCCUUGUUUGGUAGGAUUAAAAACUGGGCUUCUGGGAAACAUCUCUGAAUUAUUUAUAUUCAUUUUUCCCCUAAUUCAUUCUAGAGCUAGCUGUUCUUAAGAGAGCAGUUAUAUUUGUAUAAACCUUGCUUACUGCUAACUGCGUGACUAUGGAAUCAAAGCAUCAUCUCAGCUAUUCUCUCCUUUUCUGACUAUUCACCAGCCAGGAUGACCUUCUGUCUCUGGCUUUUGGAGGCUGAAUCAUUCUCGAGUGAUGCUGCUAACUGAUCUGGAAGAACAGCUGGCCCAUAUACAAUCAAUCAAGCAUCUACUGAUGUUUGGAGCUAUUAGGACCACUUAUGAUUUGGUGCUAAUGCAUGUUUAUGACACAACUUAAAUGUUCCUAAAAAUAAGGAAAAGAUUGACUUGUCAAAACAGAUGCCUUGAAAAUGACCCUUCUGGGCCCCUGAAGACAUUUCCAGAAAUGACUCAGGGGUCUGUCACAGGGGAUGGCCUUUAUGUCUCGGGAUGGGUGUUUCUGUGCUGGAGGAGCUGCCACUGCUGCCAUAGCGGGGCAAAUGAGAUGAAGAAUGGGCGCCACGUGAAUCGGGACUCACACACACAGCCACUUUUUCUGCAGCCCUGUCUGCUCUGCCUUGUGAAAAGGCAGUGCUCUCACCUGUGUGACUUUCCUUGUUUUUCUUGAUUAUAUCCUUUGAAAUUCUUCAAGUUGUAAAAAUGUAAAAUGUGUAUCUUUUAAAAUUUUUGUAGGAUUGGGGGUGUAACUAGGUAACAGGGCAAUUCCAUAGCAUGCCUGCAACCUUAGGUUCUCUCCUCUAUACCGCAAGUGGAAAUCUUGGGCAUGGCUACAUUCAUGUUACGUGGACAAGUGUACAGGCAUCAUGUCAUAGAUUAUUGAGACAAACAGAAUCUCAAAGAAGCAACAGAUGCAAACAAUUUCAACUCAGUCUGACUGUGAGAAAGUAAAGACUUAUUUGAUGAGUAUCCUUCCAGACUACAAAAAGUAGUGUUCACGUGAUGCAUGUAUCAACUGACAGAUGAAUAAAUGUCAUCUAGAGUUUUCUUUGUAUGAAUACAUCAGCAUGCAUCACCACCCCAGCCAAAUCCCCCACUGCAACUCUGCCUUUCUGGUCCAGGGAGAGUGUUGCUGUCUGAAUCCAGGACAUGUGAGGUUUGUUAAAGAUGUAUUUUUCCUGGAUGCAAGGUGGACCAGUGUCACCCAGAUCAGACGAACUUAGAGGAGGAAGACUGGAUAUCCAGAGUUGUUGGAGAAGAGUCGGCUCCCAAGUGAGGACAAUCCAUCCUUUGCUAAUACUAUGGUGUGCCUCUGGCUACAUGGUUUGUAAAGAACAGAGGUUCAUUCACUUCAUGGUUCUGGAGACUGGGGAAUCUAAGGGCAUGAUACUAGCAUACAGACAGGGCCUUCUUAAAGGGCAUGAGAGAGACUAUCACAUGAGGACACAGGGCUUGGAAUUGUCUUCUCAUGAGGACACUAAUGCCAUCAUGGAGGCUCUGCCUUCAUGACACUUCUUACCCUAACCAUGUCCCCUAACAUGUCACCUCCAAAUGCCAUCAGUAUAUAGAUUGGGGGUAGAGGGGGGUAUGUUUUCAGCUCAUGAAUUUUUAAGGAACACAUUUAAACCAAAGCAGAGAAGUAUCUAGUUUCCACUAAUGUCACCUUCUCUGUAAAAUGAAAUAUUUUGUGAUGUCCUAAGUGAAGUCUCAACCUUUUAAUGGGCUCUCAGUGUUGUAGAAAGACAAGGAAAGCUCAUCCAAGUCUGUGUUUCUUAAUGGUCCAAGUGCAGGUGGCAUCGCACAGGGACUGUUCCGGAGUGUAGGCAUUAUGACCUGUCAAGUUAGAUUUUUAUCACCCCCAGUGAUUGUGGCCACAUGGGACAUAUAAGUACUCUUUUCUCUUGUAUUCAGUCACACAGCAUUGUGCAAUAUGAGUUAAACCAUUUUAUUUUCAGGGAACAUGUGCAGAAGACAUUAGUAAGCGAAAUUAGCUUUUGAGCAAACCAGCUAGAAGAUAAAAUUGAUCUGAAGGAAAAUUCAAAGAGCAAAUAAGUAUACAGACCAUCAGGAACAUGUGAUAAAUAUGCCAAACUGGGGUGAGGUCGCCAAGAGUCAUUGGUGGUACUCAUCCUGCCAGACUUAAAAUGCCCAACAGCACCCAGACACCCAGCAGAGCUGGCUAGAAGUCACAGUCACAGGUGGGUGAUGUCCUUUUACGAGUUCACUCAGUGAGAUUAUCACCGGACUCCAAUGGCUCACUAAGACCACAAAGGCAUGGCAGCUGCUUACAGGAUUCCUUAGUUAUCUGCAUCGAAGUCUUGGGGAACAUUGAAGAAUUGUUGGAUAGGAAGAUUAGAAGAGCUGGAAGAUCAGGCUGUGUGCCAUGAGAUUGAAUCUUUCAGUAAUAUCAUGAACUGCACCCAUAAAGCGUCACCACUACAACUGGCCAAAUAAGAGCCAAACCAGAAUUACAUCACUGGACUUGCCAAAGUGGAAAGGGAAAAGCCCAAAAGGACUAAGCCCUAUACCAAGUACUACUGUCUUUAUAUCCAAGUGCAAGAACACUGUUCUGUGGGGGAAACAAGGGUUUCUGGGUUUCCCCAAGUGGUGGGUCAGGUUUUUUAGUCCCUUUCUUGAAUGAGUAAGGGAGUAGUUAUUUAACAUUGCCUGGCUUUCCUCCUUGAACUUAGAACUCCCAUGGUCUUUUAAGAAUUGAAUUGCUUCCAAUGUCCUUUCUCUAAUUGUCAGGGAAUUAGAAUUAGACACAUGGCACGUUUCUCUCCAUGGUGACCACAGAGUUCUUAAAACACCCCUGAACACUGCUGUUCUGCAUCUGGAAGCACUUCUAUCUAUCAAAGACAGGGUGGCAGGUGGCACCUUAGCACAAUAGCACUCUCUUGUCAGUCCAGGCAAGGAGGAAAGUGGGUAGGCUGUUGAGGUUUGGGGAGACAGUGCUUGUCACCCCAUGCAUGCCACUCCCAGUAAACCUGUUUUCAAAAUGUGACUUUGCAUGAAUGACAUUUCUUCUUCUGUAUCUUUGGACAUGGAAUUAUGUUUGCCAUUCAGAAGUCUUGGGAGUAUUUUGUCAGUUUCAUGAUAUUUUUUUAGUUUAGGCCUAAUGGUGUUCAAUAAUAAAACACAUCCUGAUGGGAUCUACAGUGUGCAUAA
Molecule: long non-coding RNA, 24399 nt
Organism: Mus musculus (house mouse)
Lineage: Eukaryota; Metazoa; Chordata; Mammalia; Rodentia; Muridae
Product: predicted gene, 39017
Exons: 2
Source: RefSeq, a predicted model, not a curated record